UUUGCCCCCAACAGCGCCUUCCAGGCAGCGCUGCCUGGAAGGCGCUGUUGGGUGGCAGUGGUUAUG
Molecule: small nucleolar RNA, 66 nt
Organism: Perca fluviatilis (European perch)
Lineage: Eukaryota; Metazoa; Chordata; Actinopteri; Perciformes; Percidae
Product: small nucleolar RNA SNORA17
Exons: 1
Source: RefSeq, a predicted model, not a curated record